AAACAAUCAAGUUUGCCUAAUGAAGCCUAUGUUUUUCAGUGGCUGUGAUUUGUACUUCCUAUAUAUAUAUAGACUUCUUUCUUAGAUGUCUUAUAAUUCAAAAAAAAUAACUAAAAAAAAUGUUGACGGGUGGUUGUGGGUGUAUAGUCAAAUUUUUGUAGGGAGUAGGGACCAUAGUUUUUAACAUGAUCUCAUUUCUACCAAGUUAUUUUGAUUAUUUAGAUAGAAAUAGAAUCACAAGGAGAUCAAAAAGUGGGAGAUGACUCUAAAUAAUUAAGAAGACAAUCCAAAUAUACAGACAUGUUCAUUUAAUAAUUGAGCAAAGAAAUUUAUAUUCAAAUCCUAAUAGGAGUAAUGUAGUCAACUAAGUGUGUUUGAAACAAUUAGCUUUGCUUAUUUAUGUUCUCUUAUUAUUAAUCUGUUCCUUAUAGAACAUUCAGAGUCUUCAUGUAAUUUAUUUGCUGGUCCUAAAUAAAAUUUUCAUUUUCCCCCACUAUGAAACAAACUAAAAUUUUUAAUUGGUGGUGCUGAUUGUAAACUGUUUUUAUGGUGAUGCUAAUUUUUUUGCGUAUAAAAUCAUACAGUAAGCAAGACUGUUUAAAUGGUGGUGCUAACUGUAGAACUUUACAU
This 630-nucleotide unclassified non-coding RNA is filed under the name Hevea brasiliensis (rubber tree). The record is from RNAcentral. Lineage: Eukaryota; Viridiplantae; Streptophyta; Magnoliopsida; Malpighiales; Euphorbiaceae.